GGUUUGGUCUCCUUGUCCUUUCAAACCCUCAGGAAAAUGUCAUGGCUGAGGCAGAAGUUGACCCCCUGUGCUUGGAAAGCUACCUGUCCAUCCUCCAAGCUCUAUCUGCUCUUCUUCCUUUGAAAGAAGCUGCUUCCUGCUGUCCCAUGAUGCUCAAUAACCUCCUCCCACCCCAUACUCAUAGACCUAGGGAGAACUUCUUCCUGUAUUUCCUCUGUCAGCCCUCCUCCAGCUCUCUGCAAAAUUAACAGCUCUCCUAACCUCUCCUUUUUCUUCCCCUCUAAUAGCCACAAGGUUCCAAGGCUGGAAACAUGAAGACCCAUUUCCCCUACACAUCCCACGGUGAGGGAAGCAACAUGGUCAUACAUCGCCCCUUUUUUUCCCCAAAUUUCCAUUUCAUUGCUAUCACCUGGUGCUGCUGCAGCAAUAGAUUGGGCAAGCAGCAAUGGUAUGGAAGCCUCCUUCAAGUGCUCUGGGGGAGGAAAAAAAGCACCUUUUUGGAAAUUGCAUCAUCUGUCACAUUGCAGCAGGCAGGGCUGAGAGCACAGGAAUGGCAGCAGCCAGGCUCCCCUGGUCGAUACAAAAGCUCAAAUUGCAGGAAGAGUUAUCCCCAGACAGACCUUCCCUGGCACGGUCCCCCCCAGGGCUCUGUUCUCCUUUGUUGGUGGUUGGUGGCACUUUUGAUCACAACCCAAAGUGGACAGGUUUCUGCUUUGAGCUACAUGGAUGGAGCAGGGAAAGCCAUCGCUUCCACCGCAACUUCUGGAAAACGCUUGUUGGAAUUUUUAUUGCUACCUCAAACUGGACAAGACCCAUCCCAUGAAUAUUUUUUUUUGAAAGUGGAAAUCCUUUACCUUUCAUGUUUGUUAUGGGAAAAAAUCAAAGUGUUUUUUUUUUGCCAAGAAAAGGUUCUUUUCUCUCUGCUACGCGUCCUCUGCUGGAAGAACUUUGAGCAGAAACUCUUCAACGUGCUCCUGCUGCGGAUACCCUCCUGUACAGAGCACGUCUGCUACAAGCAGCUGGAUUAGCUCCAGAAUUCUCUCCCCGUCUAUGCUUGACGGCAGGGAAAAAACUGGGAUCACAGAAUCACAGAAUGGCUUUGGUUGGGAGGGACCUUAAUGAUCAUUGAGU
Molecule: long non-coding RNA, 1131 nt
Filed under: Numida meleagris (helmeted guineafowl)
Lineage: Eukaryota; Metazoa; Chordata; Aves; Galliformes; Numididae
Description: lncRNA (ENSNMEG00000012126.1)
Source: RNAcentral